RNAcentral lists this ribosomal RNA (468 nucleotides) under uncultured bacterium. RNAcentral's name for it is "partial 16S ribosomal RNA". It matches the Rfam family "Bacterial small subunit ribosomal RNA", at positions 28 to 507 of the family's 1533-position model. The record is from RNAcentral.
GACGAACGCUGGCGGCGUGCUUAACACAUGCAAGUCGAACGGAAAGGCCCUGCUUUUGUGGGGUGCUCGAGUGGCGAACGGGUGAGUAACACGUGAGUAACCUGCCCUUGACUUUGGGAUAACUUCAGGAAACUGGGGCUAAUACCGGAUAGGAGCUCCUGCUGCAUGGUGGGGGUUGGAAAGUUUCGGCGGUUGGGGAUGGACUCGCGGCUUAUCAGCUUGUUGGUGGGGUAGUGGCUUUCCAGGGCUUUGACGGGUAGCCGGCCUGAGAGGGUGACCGGCCACAUUGGGACUGAGAUACGGCCCAGACUCCUACGGGAGGCAGCAGUGGGGAAUAUUGCACAAUGGGCGGAAGCCUGAUGCAGCAACGCCGCGUGCGGGAUGACGGCCUUCGGGUUGUAAACCGCUUUCGCCUGUGACGAAGCGUGAGUGACGGUAAUGGGUAAAGAAGCACCGGCUAACUACGUG